AGAGUUUGAUCAUGGCUCAGGAUAAACGCUGGCGGCGUGCCUUAAACAUGCAAGUCGAACGGUACCUUCGGGUACAGUGGCAGACGGCUGAGUAACACGUAAGUAACCGCUCCUCAAGUGGGGAAUAACUGCGAGAAAUCGUAGCUAAUACCGCAUGUGGUAGAGAUCACACAAGUGGUUUCUAGUAAAGCAGUGAUGUGCUUGAGGGAGGGCUUGCGUCCGAUUAGCUAGUUGGUGGGGUAAAGGCCUACCAAGGCGAUGAUCGGUAGCUGGUCUGAGAGGAUGAUCAGCCAGACUGGGACUGAGAUACGGCCCAGACUCCUACGGGAGGCAGCAGUUAGGAAUUUUGGCAAUGGGCGAAAGCCUGACCCAGCAACGCCGCGUGAGUGAUGAAGGCCUUCGGGUCGUAAAGCUCUUUUCUGUGGGAAGAUAAUGACGGUACCACAGGAAUAAGCAUCGGCUAACUACGUGCCAGCAGCCGCGGUAAUACGUAGGAUGCAAGCGUUGUCCGGAUCUACUGGGCGUAAAGAGCGCGCAGGUGGUUUGAUAAGUUGGAUGUGAAAGCCCCUGGCUUAACUAGGGUAGGUCGUUCAAAACUAUCAGACUUGAGUGCAGCAGAGGAAAGUGGAAUUCCCCGUGUAGUGGUGAAAUGCGUAGAUAUCGGGAGGAACACCAGUGGCGAAAGCGGCUUUCUGGGCUGUAACUGACGCUGAGGCGCGAAAGCGUGGGGAGCGAACCGGAUUAGAUACCCGGGUAGUCCACGCCCUAAACGAUGGACACUAGGUGUAGGGGGUAUCGACCCCCCCUGUGCCGGAGCUAACGCAUUAAGUGCCCCGCCUGGGGAGUACGGCCGCAAGGCUAAAACUUAAAUGAAUUGACGG
RNAcentral lists this ribosomal RNA (881 nucleotides) under uncultured bacterium. Its description in RNAcentral is "bacterial SSU rRNA". It matches the Rfam family "Bacterial small subunit ribosomal RNA", at positions 8 to 916 of the family's 1533-position model. The record is from RNAcentral.